Molecule: long non-coding RNA, 425 nt
Filed under: Homo sapiens (human)
Lineage: Eukaryota; Metazoa; Chordata; Mammalia; Primates; Hominidae
Description: novel transcript
Source: RNAcentral
GAGAAAGACAAACAAGUUUUAGGAUUACAGAAGUAUUCAACAACCAACCAUUGAAGGUGCAAGAACUGGGCCAUCCCAUGGGUCCACCAGGGCUUUGACAAGGCAGGUGCUGGGGCAGAGCACUCUGGCCAGGAAGCAAAAGAUGAAGGUUCCCAUCUUGGCCCCAGCCUGGAUCUGUGCCCAGUGAUAGUCAUCAGCCUGGAUCUGUGCCCAUUGCAUUGUGUGGACAUACCACGCCAUGUUUCUCCAUCACCUUUUGAGGAAACUUCUGUUGUUUCCACCUUCUAACCGUCAUCAGUAAAGCUGCUGUGAACCUUCGCAUCCAGGUCUCCUGGUGAAAUGAAUGCACACAUCUCUCUUGGGUAUUAUGUGAGUGUCCCGUAGCUGCUGUAAUAAACUAUCACAAAUGCAGUAGCUUAAAACAA